Molecule: non-coding RNA, 3061 nt
Organism: Cyanistes caeruleus (blue tit)
Lineage: Eukaryota; Metazoa; Chordata; Aves; Passeriformes; Paridae
Source: RefSeq, a predicted model, not a curated record
UUUCUUGGCAUUCCUUAGCAUUUUAUGUUUCACAAACCUUAAGGGAACAUCGGGUUACUAAUUUACUUCUGCGUACUUCCACAGCCAUUUAACAACUUCUAAAGUGUAGUAUGGAAUGUAAUGAAUGAAUAUCGGCGGAGGGAAAAUGUGUUUAGAAUAGAAUCAUAGAAAAAUUUGGGUUGGAAGGGCCCUUUAGAGGUCAUCUAGUCCAACCUCUCUGCAAUGAGCAGGGCCAUUUUAGACUAGGCCAGGUUGCCCUGAGCCCUACCCAGUCUAACUUGUUUCCAGGGUCUAGUAGAGGAUCAGGAGAAGAUCAUAGUAAAAUCAGCCCAGAAUGUGGCAGAAAUGAUCUUCAGAACACUCCUGAAUUUUUAUCAGCUUGACUAGAUGUCCAACCACCAUCCCUCCUCAUCUGACUUCAGCAGAGACUGCAGAGACCACAGAGACCUAUGGUCUUCCAGAUGCUCUGAGUACCAGAGAAGGACCCCCAAAAGACAGAAAAACUCCAUGAGAAAAUGUGUGUCUUAAAAGGAUGAGCAAGAAAAUCAUUCAACCACCAACUCACUAAUAAAACAAAUACUUUUAUUAUUAUUCAUGAACGAGCAAAAAUCCUGCCGUAAAUCUGCAGACCUUGUUCUGCAUCUCUUAGCAUGGAUCGAGAGGAUAUACAUGCUAUUUACAGGAAUUAAGAACAGAAGGAUCAGGUUUCACUUUAUUUUUAUCCCUUACUUAUAAUUUAAAUGAUUGCACAUCUCAAAUAGACUUACACAGGCCUUAAAUAAUGUGCAAACUAUCCAUGCAAAUAAUUUGUCCAUUAAGUGCAAGUGUAGUUCCAAAUGAGGGAUAAAUUUCUUUUUGAUUAACAGUUGUACUGAGAGUCUUGUUAAAUAGGAGAAGUGCAUAAACACAGUUAAAGUGCCAAGACAAAUCAGAAAUGUAGAGGAGAAUUAGGAUACCAAACCAUGACUUGGAACAGAGACUGAAACCUGGGAUUAAGAUACAUAUUUUGUAACAGGUCUUCAGCCUGUGUCAGCCAUUCCUGCUUUCCUGCAGGUUUAGUCAUUUGUGCCUGAACCUGCACACAGCCACAGCUUGGCAGAGAAUUGGUGACAUGACCUAUGUGAACAAAUAUUAUUCCACAAAGGAAUAACUUGUUCAGAAAUUGGAAGCAAGGCAAAAAGGAAACAAAAUUUGCCCUUUAAGUCAAAGAUAGAUACAAAUACUUUGAUUUAGUUAGUGUGUUCUGCUGAAAGUUUCUCACUGAUGAUUAAUAAAGAGAAAAAUAGAGAUUUCAUGAUGCUGAUAAGGAUUUCUUUAUAACACCUUUUCUCAGGGCUAAAAGAAAAAGCUAGAAGGGAACAAGAAUAAGUAAUUAUUACUAAGGGUAGGUGUUAAUUAUCCAGUUGUGGAGGGGCAUAGGAAGUAUAAUAUAAGAUCAUUUUGACAAAAAAAUUAACAAUCAUGGAGUUCAGUUAUCAGGCAAAAACAAAAAGAAAGGCUGAGCUACCAGGCAUUAAUACAGAGUUAUAGCACAACUGCUUGGAAAUGCAAGGAAUAGAAUGAGCUGCAAUUAACACAAAGCAUGCCCCAAAAAAAGUUAAAGGGAAGAAUCAGUUAAGAUACUAAGACACUCUUCAAUAAAAAGAGCACUAUCAAGUAAGGUAGCAUAAUUUAUAUGUGUCAGGAAAGAAAGACCUCAUCUUUAAGUAUUUAAUAUACUUGAUUCAUCUGGUUCUGAUGACUGCAUCCCACAAUACCUAAAAUUGGUUGGAUAAUUCUCUGCACUGCUAACAAUUAUUUUUAGUUAUUCAAGGAGAAAUGUGGUAUUCAUUAGCAUAAAACAUGCUUAUCUUAAAAAAAUUAAAAAGGAAGAGUCAGAGAAUUAAAAACCCCGGUAUCAAAACCUCAGUUAACCUGAAAAAAAUGCCAGUCAUGAUCCAACAAACUGUUUGUAAGUCUCUAGGGGAAAAAAACCCAAAAAAAAUAACAAAAAGAAAAACCAAAACCAAACAAACAAGCAAAAACCAAGCAAAACAGGAAAAAAACAAGGAAAUUGCAAUCAGCAUUAAUUAAUCCACCAUCAGACUAGGCAAGAGUAGCCUAGACUAAGCUAUUGGAGAGUGAGUGAAAGUCAUCCCCUGAGAGCGACUGUGAGUGAUUAACUGUAAGAAGGGAAGACUGCAUUGAGUGGUCCUGCAGAGGUCUCAGCUGCAUUCAGAUAUCUUUAAUGUCAUCACUGGUGCUCAGGAUCUGCAGACAUGACUGCUUUGAGAAUAGCACCAGUCAUUGUGAAGAUUAGAGUUAAUCAUACCCUUGAAAUUUGGAGAUAAAACUCUGGCAAGUCAUGCUGCAGGGACGAGGUACUUCAUUUGAUCCAGAAAAAUUAAUUGGACAAGAAACCAACUUUUGUCUGUUACACAGAAAAAGAAAAGGGGGAUUUUUUUUAGAGAUGGAAACCUGAAUAAAAAUUAAAAAUAUUAAGGAAAUACAAAUACGACCCUACAAUGGAACAUACAAUUUGAGCCAGCAAAGACCAAAAGUCAUUACCUCUGCUCUGCUCAGAGCAGGUAAGGUCUCCUUUGAAGAGCUGAGUUCAGUCUGAGCCACUGUACUUCAAGAAAGAUGUGGACCAAAUGGACAAAAUUCAAAGGAGCAUGGUGAAAGAGUAAAGGAAAGAUUUGGUUUCAAAGUCCAUAGUGAUGGGACAUCAAGCAAGAAAGACUGAAUGUAAAAAAAAUAAAAAUUAAAUCAAGUGCUAAUUCGAGUGAAACCCUGGAAGAAAUUCCUUGAAGAUGUAGGGGAAUCUUACUUUUAUAUCUUCUUCUCUCAUCAUUCAUGUGUUUUUUACAAAUACUUGAUGAGAAUGACAUGGAUAAAGUUGCAGUACCAGAUGACCCUUUGAGAUCCCUCCAAGCCCUAUCUUUCCAUGUUUCUAGGUUCUCAUCUCUGGACACUUUCCUGUAAUGCACCUGUUAGAAAGCAGCAAAUGUUGUAUUACUUUCGCUGCUUUCUCCCUCUUUCUCACUGAGUGUGGUCAGUUUCAAAGAAAAAAAAAAAUAAA